This 269-nucleotide ribosomal RNA is filed under the name uncultured Hyphomicrobiales bacterium. Its description in RNAcentral is "uncultured Rhizobiales bacterium partial 16S ribosomal RNA". It matches the Rfam family "Bacterial small subunit ribosomal RNA", at positions 72 to 358 of the family's 1533-position model. The record is from RNAcentral. Lineage: Bacteria; Pseudomonadati; Pseudomonadota; Alphaproteobacteria; Hyphomicrobiales.
GUCGAGCGGCCGCCCNAUACGGGAGAAGCAGACGGGAGAGUUCACGUGGGAACGCGCCCUUCGGUUCGGAAUAACUCAGGGAAACUUGGGCUAAUACCCCAUACGCCCUUACGGGGAAAGAUUUAUUGCCGAAGGAACGGCCCGCGUCCGAUUAGCUUGUUGGUGAGGUAACGGCUCACCAAGGCGACGAUCGGUAGCUGGUCUGAGAGGAUGACCAGCCUCACUGGGACUGAGACACGGCCCAGACUCCUACGGGAGGCAGCAGUGGG